RNAcentral lists this ribosomal RNA (400 nucleotides) under uncultured bacterium. RNAcentral describes it as "bacterial SSU rRNA". It matches the Rfam family "Bacterial small subunit ribosomal RNA", at positions 356 to 773 of the family's 1533-position model. The record is from RNAcentral.
GGGGAAUAUUGCACAAUGGGGGAAACCCUGAUGCAGCAACGCCGCGUGGAGGAAGAAGGUUUUCGGAUUGUAAACUCCUGUCUUUUGGGACGAUAAUGACGGUACCAAAAGAGGAAGCCACGGCUAACUACGUGCCAGCAGCCGCGGUAAUACGUAGGUGGCGAGCGUUGUCCGGAAUUACUGGGCGUAAAGGGCGCGUAGGCGGCCUGUUAAGUCAGAUGUGAAAACCCCAGGCUCAACCUGGGGACUGCAUAUGAAACUGAUGGGCUAGAGUGUCGGAGAGGGAAGCGGAAUUCCUAGUGUAGCGGUGAAAUGCGUAGAUAUUAGGAGGAACACCAGUGGCGAAGGCGGCUUUCUGGACGAUAACUGACGCUGAGGCGCGAAAGCGUGGGGAGCAAAC